GCAGAUGUAGUUCAAUGGUAGAACACAACCUUGCCAAGGUUGAUACGGGGGUCCGAUUCCCCUCAUCUGCUCCA
Molecule: transfer RNA, 74 nt
Filed under: Erysipelotrichaceae bacterium
Lineage: Bacteria; Bacillati; Bacillota; Erysipelotrichia; Erysipelotrichales; Erysipelotrichaceae
Also listed under: 1 other name
Description: tRNA-Gly
Rfam family: tRNA
About the family: Transfer RNA (tRNA) molecules are approximately 80 nucleotides in length.
Source: RNAcentral